UCCUACGGGAGGGAGCAAUGGGGAAUUUUGGGCAAUGGGGGAAAGGCUUAUCCAACAAUGGCGGGUUAGUUAUUAAGGCCUUAAGGGUGUAAAGGUUUUUUACCCAGGAUUAUAAUGACCGGACUUGGGUAAUAAGCCCCGGCUAAAUCCGUGCCAGCAGCCGCGGUAAUACGGAGGGAGCUAGGGUUGUUUGGAAUUACUGGGGGUUAAGGGCAAGUUGGCGGCUUUCCAAGUCAUGGGUGAAAACCCCGGGGUCAACCCCGGAAAUGCCCUUGAAAAUGGAUGGUUAGAAGACUGGAGAGGUGAAUGGAAUUCCGAGUGGAGAGGUUAAAUUUGUAGAUAUUCGGAAGAACACCAGUGGCGAAGGGGACUCACUGGGCAGUUAUUGACGGUUAGGUUGGAAAGCGUGGGGAGCAAACAGGAUUAGAUACCCCGGUAGUCCACCCCGUAAACGAUUAUAACCAGCUUCCGAGCUCCUUGAGCUUGGGUGCGCAGCUAACGCAUUAA
Molecule: ribosomal RNA, 507 nt
Filed under: uncultured marine bacterium
Lineage: Bacteria
Description: bacterial SSU rRNA
Rfam family: Bacterial small subunit ribosomal RNA
Source: RNAcentral